Molecule: ribosomal RNA, 236 nt
Filed under: uncultured bacterium
Lineage: Bacteria
Description: partial 16S ribosomal RNA
Rfam family: Bacterial small subunit ribosomal RNA
Source: RNAcentral
CGGGACGGGUGAGUAACGCGUGGAUAACCUGCCUCACACUGGGGGAUAACGGUUAGGAAUGACUGCUAAUACCGCAUAAGCGCACAGUACCGCAUGGUACGGUGUGAAAAACUCCGGUGGUGUGAGAUGGAUCCGCGUCUGAUUAGCCAGUUGGCGGGGUAACGGCCCACCAAAGCGACGAUCAGUAGCCGACCUGAGAGGGUGACCGGCCACAUUGGGACUGAGACACGGCCCAA